CCUACGGGUGGCAGCAGUGAGGAAUAUUGGUCAAUGGGCGAGAGCCUGAACCAGCCAAGUCGCGUGAGGGAGUACUGCCCUAUGGGUUGUAAACCUCUUUUGUCGGGGAGCAAAAGCCUGACGUGUCCGGCUGUGAGAGUACCCGAAGAAAAAGCAUCGGCUAACUCCGUGCCAGCAGCCGCGGUAUUACGGAGGAUGCGAGCGUUAUCCGGAUUUAUUGGGUUUAUAGUGUGCGCAGGCGGAUUGUUAAGUCAGCGGUAAAAUCGUGGGGCUCAACCCCAUCCAGCCGUUGAAACUGGGGAUCUAGAGUGGGCGAGAGGUAUGCGGAAGGCGUGGUGUAGCGGUGAAAUGCAUAGAUAUCACGCAGAACCCCGAUUGCGAAGGCAGCAUACCGGUGCACAACUGACGCUCAGGCACGAAAGCGUGGGUAUCGAACAGGAUUAGAUACCCCAGUAGUC
This 458-nucleotide ribosomal RNA is filed under the name uncultured bacterium. RNAcentral's name for it is "partial 16S ribosomal RNA". It matches the Rfam family "Bacterial small subunit ribosomal RNA", at positions 338 to 795 of the family's 1533-position model. The record is from RNAcentral.